Molecule: long non-coding RNA, 159 nt
Organism: Empidonax traillii (willow flycatcher)
Lineage: Eukaryota; Metazoa; Chordata; Aves; Passeriformes; Tyrannidae
Exons: 2
Source: RefSeq, a predicted model, not a curated record
CCACUCAGAAAACUUCCUUAGCUUUAUCAGAUGGCUCUUCCCACUGGUAUGUGAAAUACCAACUUGCAGAGAACUCAGCACAGCAGGUGCCUUGGAGGCAUGGGAUCAUCUGGCUUCUGAAAGUGAAGAGAAGGAAAUAAAAAGCUUUUGCACUUUGCA